CCUACGGGUGGCUGCAGUGGGGAAUAUUGCACAAUGGGGGAAACCCUGAUGCAGCGACGCCGCGUGAAGGAAGAAGUAUUUCGGUAUGUAAACUUCUAUCAGCAGGGAAGAAAAUGACGGUACCUGACUAAGAAGCCCCGGCUAACUACGUGCCAGCAGCCGCGGUAAUACGUAGGGGGCAAGCGUUAUCCGGAUUUACUGGGUGUAAAGGGAGCGUAGGCGGCGAUGCAAGUCAGAAGGGAAAGCACGGGGCUCAACUCCGGGACUGCUUUUGAAACUGUGUUGCUAGAUUGCAGGAGAGGUAAGUGGAAUUCCUAGUGUAGCGGUAAAAUGCGGAGAUAUUAGGAGGAACACCAGUGGCGAAGGCGGCUUACUGGACUGUAAAUGACGCUGAGGCUCGAAAGCGUGGGGAGCAAACAGGAUUAGAUACCCGAGUAGUC
Molecule: ribosomal RNA, 440 nt
Filed under: uncultured bacterium
Lineage: Bacteria
Description: partial 16S ribosomal RNA
Rfam family: Bacterial small subunit ribosomal RNA
Source: RNAcentral